ACCUUAUAUAGAUGUAGUGACGCAAGACAGUGACGCAUUUCCCUGCAAGGUGGUGUUUCAAUAGAAGUAUAAACGACAAGUCUUAUUGUGUAGCUCUAGAGUUGAAAUAAGGUGAGUUUAUAUGUAAUAGGUUAACCGUAAGACCUUGAAUUGAGAAAUUCUAAAAUUGAUUUCAAUAAUUUUUUAUAAUUAUUGAAUUACGGUCAG
This 207-nucleotide non-coding RNA is filed under the name unclassified sequences. Its description in RNAcentral is "IS605-orfB-I RNA". It matches the Rfam family "IS605-orfB-I RNA". The record is from Rfam by way of RNAcentral.